This 1306-nucleotide ribosomal RNA is filed under the name uncultured bacterium. RNAcentral's name for it is "bacterial SSU rRNA". It matches the Rfam family "Bacterial small subunit ribosomal RNA", at positions 28 to 1381 of the family's 1533-position model. The record is from RNAcentral.
AACGUACGCUGGCGGCACGCCUAACACAUGCAAGUCGAACGAAGUAGCAAUACUUAGUGGCAGACGGGUGAGUAACAUGUGGGUAUCUGCCCUUUGGCCUGGAAUAACACGAGGAAACUUGUGCUAAUACCGGAUAAGUCUUUACGGAGAAAGCUUUAUGCACCAUUGGAUGAGCCCGCACUUGAUUAGUUUGUUGGUGGGGUAAUGGCCUACCAAGACUGUGAUCAAUAGCUGAUUUGAGAGGAUGAUCAGCCACAUUGGGACUGAGACACGGCCCAAACUCCUACGGGAGGCAGCAGUGGGGAAUCUUGCACAAUGGAGGAAACUCUGAUGCAGCGAUGCCGCGUGAGUGAAGAAGGCCCUUGGGUUGUAAAGCUCUUUCGUCGGGGAAGAAAAUGACUGUACCCGAAUAAGAAGGUCCGGCUAACUUCGUGCCAGCAGCCGCGGUAAUACGAAGGGACCUAGCGUAGUUCGGAAUUACUGGGCUUAAAGAGUUCGUAGGUGGUUGAAAAAGUUAGUGGUGAAAUCCCAGAGCUUAACUCUGGAACUGCCAUUAAAACUUUUCAGCUAGAGUAUGAUAGAGGAAAGCAGAAUUUCUAGUGUAGAGGUGAAAUUCGUAGAUAUUAGAAAGAAUACCAAUUGCGAAGGCAGCUUUCUGGAUCAUAACUGACACUGAGGAACGAAAGCAUGGGUAGCGAAGAGGAUUAGAUACCCUCGUAGUCCAUGCCGUAAACGAUGUGUGUUAGACGUUGGAAAUUUAUUUUCAGUGUCGCAGCGAAAGCGAUAAACACACCGCCUGGGGAGUACGACCGCAAGGUUAAAACUCAAAUGAAUUGACGGGGACCCGCACAAGUAGUGGAGCAUGUGGUUUAAUUCGAAGAUACGCGCAGAACCUUACCAACACUUGACAUGUUCGUCGCGACUCUAAGAGAUUAGAGUUUUCGGUUCGGCCGGACGAAACACAGGUGCUGCAUGGCUGUCGUCAGCUCGUGUCGUGAGAUGUUGGGUUAAGUCCCGCAACGAGCGCAACCCUCACUUUUAGUUGCCAUCAUUAAGUUGGGCACUCUGAAAGAACUGCCAGUGAUAAGCUGGAGGAAGGUGGGGAUGACGUCAAGUCCUCAUGGCCCUUACGUGUUGGGCUACACACGUGCUACAAUGAUAUCUACAACAGGAAGCAAGGCUGCGAGGUCGAGCAAAUCCUUAAAAGAUACCUCAGUUCGGAUUGCACUCUGCAACUCGAGUGCAUGAAGCUGGAAUUACUAGUAAUCGUGGAUCAGCGUGCCACGGUGAAUGCGUUCCCGGGUCU